RNAcentral lists this ribosomal RNA (819 nucleotides) under uncultured Actinomycetes bacterium. Its description in RNAcentral is "bacterial SSU rRNA". It matches the Rfam family "Bacterial small subunit ribosomal RNA", at positions 335 to 1167 of the family's 1533-position model. Lineage: Bacteria; Bacillati; Actinomycetota; Actinomycetes. The record is from RNAcentral.
ACUCCUACGGGAGGCAGCAGUGGGGAAUAUUGCACAAUGGGCGCAAGCCUGAUGCAGCAACGCCGCGUGAGGGACGACGGCCUUCGGGUUGUAAACCUCUUUUAGUAGGGAAGAAGCGAAAGUGACGGUACCUGCAGAAAAAGCACCGGCUAACUACGUGCCAGCAGCCGCGGUAAUACGUAGGGUGCAAGCGUUAUCCGGAAUUAUUGGGCGUAAAGAGCUCGUAGGCGGUUUGUCGCGUCUGCUGUGAAAACUGGAGGCUCAACCUCCAGCCUGCAGUGGGUACGGGCAGACUAGAGUGCGGUAGGGGAGAUUGGAAUUCCUGGUGUAGCGGUGGAAUGCGCAGAUAUCAGGAGGAACACCGAUGGCGAAGGCAGAUCUCUGGGCCGUAACUGACGCUGAGGAGCGAAAGCAUGGGGAGCGAACAGGAUUAGAUACCCUGGUAGUCCAUGCCGUAAACGUUGGGAACUAGAUGUAGGGACCAUUCCACGGUUUCUGUGUCGCAGCUAACGCAUUAAGCUCCCCGCCUGGGGAGUACGGCCGCAAGGCUAAAACUCAAAGGAAUUGACGGGGGCCCGCACAAGCGGCGGAGCAUGCGGAUUAAUUCGAUGCAACGCGAAGAACCUUACCAAGGCUUGACAUAUACCGGAAAAGUUCAGAAAUGUUCUCCCCGCAAGGUCGGUAUACAGGUGGUGCAUGGUUGUCGUCAGCUCGUGUCGUGAGAUGUUGGGUUAAGCCCCGCAACGAGCGCAACCCUCGUUCUAUGUUGCCAGCACGUAAUGGUGGGAACUCAUAGGAGACUGCCGGGGUCAACUCGGA